This 537-nucleotide ribosomal RNA is filed under the name Trapezionida acantha. RNAcentral describes it as "Munida acantha partial 12S ribosomal RNA". Lineage: Eukaryota; Metazoa; Arthropoda; Malacostraca; Decapoda; Munididae. The record is from RNAcentral.
ACAUGAAGGACAAGUAAAAUUAAUUGGAUUACAAAAAUUAUUUUAAAAAUUUAAAAUCUCUUUGAUAAUAUAAAAGGUAAAAUUAGACUCUAUUAUUUGAUAUAUAUUUGAAAUUAUUAUAAAAAAUUAACUUGAAAAAAUUAAAGUAUAAACUAGGAUUAGAUACCCUAUUAUAUUUAAUUGAAACUUAAUAAAUCUUGAUCAUUAACAGAUAUAUUCUUUAAAAUUAAAGAAUUUGGCGGUAUUUUAGUCUCUUUAGAGGAACCUGUUUUAUAAUCGAUACUCCACGUAAAAUCUUACUUAUUUAAUUAGUUUGUAUACCGUCAUUAUUAGAUAACUUUUAUAGAAAUAGAUAUCAAAAAUUAAAAAAAUAAAAAAUAUUAGAUCAAGGUGCAGCCUAUAAAUAAGGAAAAAUGGGUUACAAUACUACUUAUUACACGAAAUUUAAUGUAAAAUCAUUAGAUAAAGGUGGAUUUAAUUGUACGAUUUUUUUAAUAAGUGAAGCUGAUAUUAGCUCUAAAAUAUGUACACAUCGCC